This 422-nucleotide ribosomal RNA is filed under the name Carex echinata. Its description in RNAcentral is "eukaryotic LSU rRNA". The stretch from base 312 to 422 matches the Rfam family "Eukaryotic large subunit ribosomal RNA", at positions 1 to 111 of the family's 3401-position model. Lineage: Eukaryota; Viridiplantae; Streptophyta; Magnoliopsida; Poales; Cyperaceae. The record is from RNAcentral.
UGCAGAAUCCCGUGAACCAUCGAGUCUUUGAACGCAAGUUGCGCCCGAGGGACCCUCCCGAGGGCACGCCUGCCUCAUGGGCGUUAGAAGCCCAUCCACGCUCGGUUGCCUAACGGCAAAGAUGCGGACAUUGGCCCUCCGAACCGCGAGGCACGGUGGGCCUAAGUGUGCGGCCGUCGUAUGCGGCCGGGAGCGGCGAGUGGUGGGCUACUGCGCACGUCACCCCGAGCCCCGUACCGACGCAGGGCCUUUUUUGACCCCUAACGAGGAGCCUGCCGUUGCAGCCUGCGCUGCGCGGCGCCUUCGGACCGAUACCCCAGGUCAGGCGGGGCUACCCGCUGAGUUUAAGCAUAUAAAUAAGCGGAGGAGAAGAAACUUACAAGGAUUCCCCUAGUAACGGCGAGCGAACCGGGAGCAGCCCA